This 459-nucleotide ribosomal RNA is filed under the name uncultured bacterium. RNAcentral describes it as "SSU rRNA". It matches the Rfam family "Bacterial small subunit ribosomal RNA", at positions 26 to 523 of the family's 1533-position model. The record is from RNAcentral.
AGAGCGAACGCUGGCGGCAUGCUUAACACAUGCAAGUCGCACGGGCAGGGGCAACCCUGUCAGUGGCGGACGGGUGAGUAACGCGUAGGUAUCUAUCCUUGGGUGGGGGACAACUGUGGGAAACUACAGCUAAUACCGCAUGAUGACCGAGGUCCAAAGCUCGCGAGAGCGCCUGGGGAGGAGCCUGCGUACGAUUAGCUAGUUGGUGGGGUAAAGGCCUACCAAGGCGACGAUCGUUAGCUGGUCUGAGAGGAUGAUCAGCCACAUUGGGACUGAGACACGGCCCAAACUCCUACGGGAGGCAGCAGUGGGGAAUAUUGGACAAUGGGCGCAAGCCUGAUCCAGCAAUGCCGCGUGUGUGAAGAAGGUCUUCGGAUUGUAAAGCACUUUCGACGGGGACGAUGAUGACGGUACCCGUAGAAGAAGCCCCGGCUAACUUCGUGCCAGCAGCCGCGGUAA